RNAcentral lists this non-coding RNA (220 nucleotides) under Pelosinus fermentans. RNAcentral describes it as "T-box sequence". It matches the Rfam family "T-box leader". Rfam says of the family: Uncharged tRNA acts as the effector for transcription antitermination of genes in the T-box leader family. Lineage: Bacteria; Bacillati; Bacillota; Negativicutes; Selenomonadales; Sporomusaceae. The record is from RNAcentral.
UAAAAAGCUAUGAUCAGGAAGAGUAUUCAUGAUGUUGAAUGUACAGAGAGUAGGGAGUGCUGAGAACCUGCCAGGAUAAUCAGAAGAAAAUCACCUGAGAGCUGAUGACUGAACCUUCUUAGUAAGUCAAUUCGUAAUCCUGCGUUAAAGGAUAGGGUAUGGCAGUACCUGAAUGGAUUGUUAAAAGGUGGUAUAACGAAGAUGAAACUUCGUCCUGAAC